This is a long non-coding RNA of Neltuma alba, 821 nucleotides long. RefSeq lists it as uncharacterized. The record is from RefSeq and is a predicted model, not a curated record. The transcript is spliced from 2 exons. Lineage: Eukaryota; Viridiplantae; Streptophyta; Magnoliopsida; Fabales; Fabaceae.
GGAGGAAAAGGGCAAAGAAAUUUCUGGAACCAGGGGGGGUUUGCAAGAUGCAAAAUUCACCGGCGAUCUACAUACAAGGUUGCCAUCCGUUGCGAUGUCCUCCUCGCCUUUCUUUCACCCAUCCUUCAUCUCCCUUGAUUGCUGCCUCUUCCUCCUUUCUGCAUCAUCAACUCGUCUCCUUCAUUUUUGUGUUUUGUAUCUCAUGGUGGUACAUGCUAUCCGCGUGGUUUAAGCAAGGAAUUGGGAAUACGGUUAAUGGAAGAUGGUGGUGGGGGUGUCCGAUUGAAGUAGGUUUGUCCGAGGGUUAGGAGUUGAAUUGUGGAAUGCACUUGAAAUGUUUGUUAAAUGUUCACGAGAAGAAUUGGAUUGGGAGGCUAGUAAAAUUUGCCAGAAAGCUAAGGCUUAUGCCAUAGAAGGGCGAAAGAAACUUAAUUAACGUUCAAGUUCAUGAAGGGGAUGAUGGGACACUCAUGGCUGACAAAAUGCUUCGCCGAAAGGGAAAGUAGAAGAUGUUAUAUUUCAAACUCGGGUCAUUCGGUUACUUAGCUAAUAUUCAAGGGUGAUAAAACUCAAUCAUUAUUCGAAUUUGUAACUUUAGUACUUGCAGAAAAAGAAAAAGAAAAAGAAAGGUUAAGAUUCAAGUUCUCUUACUAUAUUAAAUUGUUGCAAAUUGAGGAUUAAGAUGGUGUAUCUUGGCUGCCAAAAUCAUCGUGCUAAAGGGCUUAUGCGGCAUAUUAUUGUUCACGAUUGUAAGAGUAAAGAAUAAGGAUUAUCUUGAAGUAUAAUGAAAGUGUGAAUAGCAUCCCAUAAAUAGGUUUUUA